RNAcentral lists this unclassified non-coding RNA (700 nucleotides) under Hevea brasiliensis (rubber tree). The record is from RNAcentral. Lineage: Eukaryota; Viridiplantae; Streptophyta; Magnoliopsida; Malpighiales; Euphorbiaceae.
GUCUUAUUCAAGCUUUUAUUUUUAUUUCAUGGAAGUUAAUGAUCUGUCGACUGUUUGCCUUAACAAAAGCAUGAAAGUAGUGUUUUUUUUUUCUUUUCCAACAUGCCGUGAAACAAUUUGUGGUCAUGUUUGCUCUUGAAGUCUGUUUCCAGUGUGUCUCUGAAAAACUAUUGUAUGUCUUUUUUUAAAAAAAAACAUUUCUUAUGGAAUGAUCUAUCACCCUUGUCCUUGGUUAUGCACAGUCUAUAUCGAAUAUAGCUAAUAUAUUAUUCUAAUUGCUUGUUCAAAUGUUGAAUAUUAAAUUUGAUUGCCCCCCUCAUCAGGUACUAUAAGUAUAUGUGUAAAUUGGUCGAUAUAGAUGAUAACUCUUGAAGGCCUAUCAAAUUAACUUGUCAAAUUUAAAAAUGACUUCUCACUGGAAUCAUUAUAGUACAACUGAUAAGUAUGUUGUUAUGAAGGUGUAGAUUUCAUGUCGUGUGAUGAACCAAGUUAUAUUAUGCAUCUCCUAGUUAAGUAUAGCAUACCCUUGUCGAAUUUUUUCACUCACAGAAAUUGUUUCCACCUCUGUUAAGUUUUUGACUUGGACAUAAUCUUUUGUCCAUGGGCUGCCAUUAACAUAUCUUGUUUAUAACAAAGUCAUAUGUAGUUUUUAGAUAGCGAAUGCGAAAAAUGAUAAAUUUCAAAGUUAGAACAAUGUUUU